RNAcentral lists this ribosomal RNA (468 nucleotides) under uncultured bacterium. RNAcentral's name for it is "partial 16S ribosomal RNA". It matches the Rfam family "Bacterial small subunit ribosomal RNA", at positions 28 to 507 of the family's 1533-position model. The record is from RNAcentral.
GACGAACGCUGGCGGCGUGCUUAACACAUGCAAGUCGAACGGAAAGGCCCUGCUUUUGUGGGGUGCUCGAGUGGCGAACGGGUGAGUAACACGUGAGUAACCUUCCCUUGACUUUGGGAUAACUUCAGGAAACUGGGGCUAAUACCGGAUAGGAUCUCCUGCUGCAUGGUGGGGGUUGGAAAGUUUCGGCGGUUGGGGAUGGACUCGCGGCUUAUCAGCUUGUUGGUGGGGUAGUGGCUUACCAAGGCUUUGACGGGUAGCCGGCCUGGGAGGGUGACCGGGCACAAUGGGACUGAGAUACGGCCCAGACUCCUACGGGAGGCAACAGUGGGGAAUAUUGCACAAUGAGCGGAAGCCUGAUGCAGCAACGCCGCGUGCGGGAUGACGGCCUUCGGGUUAUAAACCGCUUUCGCCUGUGACGAAGCGUGAGUGACGGUAAUGGGUAAAGAAGCACCGGCUAACUACGUG